RNAcentral lists this ribosomal RNA (403 nucleotides) under uncultured bacterium. RNAcentral's name for it is "partial 16S ribosomal RNA". It matches the Rfam family "Bacterial small subunit ribosomal RNA", at positions 28 to 526 of the family's 1533-position model. The record is from RNAcentral.
GACGAACGCUGGCGGCGUGCCUAAUACAUGCAAGUCGAACGCAGUGGGGACGGGUGAGUAACCCGUGGGUAACCUCCCAUCAGAGGGGAUAACACUUGUAACCAGGUGCUAAACCGAUCCUGAUGGAUGGAACCGCGGUGCAUUAGCUAGUUGUUGAGGUAACGGCUCACCAAGGCCACGAUGCAUAGCCUACCUGAGAGGGUGAGCUGCCACACGGGGACUGAGACACGGCCUAGACUCCUACGGGAGGCAGCAGUAGGGAAUCUUCGGCAAUGGACGAAAGGCUGACCUAGCAACGCCGCGUGAGUGAAGAAGGCUUUCGGAUCGUAAAACUCUGUUGUUAGAGAAGCGGUAUAUAACCAGAAAGCCACGGCGAACUCCGUGCCAGCAGCCGCGGUAAUAC